RNAcentral lists this non-coding RNA (86 nucleotides) under Malonomonas rubra DSM 5091. RNAcentral's name for it is "Bacterial small subunit ribosomal RNA". It matches the Rfam family "Bacterial small subunit ribosomal RNA", at positions 1 to 85 of the family's 1533-position model. Lineage: Bacteria; Pseudomonadati; Thermodesulfobacteriota; Desulfuromonadia; Desulfuromonadales; Geopsychrobacteraceae. The record is from Rfam by way of RNAcentral.
UAACUGGAGAGUUUGAUCCUGGCUCAGAACGAACGCUGGCGGCGUGCCUAACACAUGCAAGUCGAACGAGAAAGGGAUCUUCGGAU